Molecule: long non-coding RNA, 561 nt
Organism: Nicotiana tabacum (common tobacco)
Lineage: Eukaryota; Viridiplantae; Streptophyta; Magnoliopsida; Solanales; Solanaceae
Source: RefSeq, a predicted model, not a curated record
UAUUGUUUCCAUUUUUCGUUUCACUCUUCUUCCCCGACCCCAACACCUAUUGAUCUCUCCAGUGUCCCUUCGUCUAUCUUUCGUUUAAUUCUGUUAAAGGGGAAGGGGUAAAGGAUAACUGUUGAGAUGGGGUUGACGCUUGGACUUUAUAUUAAGAGACCGAUUGACACUGCUGCGUUAGAUUUGGUAAAUUCGGCUGAUUGGCUGCCGGAAAUGGGAUGGAAAUACUUUCCAAAUUAGAAUAUCAAUCAAUUAGGGGAAGAUUGCUCCAUUGGUUCGCUUCGAUGGGUCCAAUCGAUCUGAGGCAGGUGCAUCUAGUUACCCGUCCGUCACGCGUUCCUGAUUCCUGAUCGAGAUCUCACGGUGAGCUGCCCCUUCUGAGCCGUUCAGCAGCAUACCAGAGUUCUCUUCUUUUGUUGUUGUUAUGUAUUGUCUACUCUGUUUCAGACAAUAGGAUAGUGGUAUUUUAUACAUUCUACUAGUUUCCCUAGUACUUGUGACACUAGUUUCUGGCACGCAGUUUGUAGACUAUUAUUUUGAGAUGUAUUUCUAUUAUUUGAA